Molecule: long non-coding RNA, 932 nt
Organism: Pipra filicauda (Wire-tailed manakin)
Lineage: Eukaryota; Metazoa; Chordata; Aves; Passeriformes; Pipridae
Exons: 2
Source: RefSeq, a predicted model, not a curated record
GCCGCCGCCAUGUCGCGGAGAGGCGGCCCGGGGUGAGGCUCCGCCGCUCCCCGCCCGACUACAACUCCCGUGAGGCCGCUGGACGGGCCUCCCCACCCCCGGGGCGGUGGCUGGAGCCCCGCCCGGGACUCCCGGAGGCCGUGGGGGGGAAAGAUGAGUUCAUCAAGCUCUUUGCAUGGACAACUGAAGCAAAUGUGAAAGUCAGGUUCAAUAAAUCUAGCAGCAGAUUUCCCCCUUCUUCCCUUGUUGGCUGGCAGAAGGAAAAUCCUCAUCCCUAAGAUCAAGGGACAAGACGACAUACUCUCAAGCUGCGCCAGGAGAGGUUCAGAUUGUACAUCUGGAAGAAUUUCUUCACAGAAAGGGUAAUUAGACACUGGAAUGGGCUGUCCAGAGAGGUGGUGGAGUCAGCACCCCCAGAAAUGUUUAAGAAAAGACUGAAUGUGACACUUAUUGCCAUAGUCUAGUUGUCAUGGUGGUGUUUGGUCAAAGAUUGGACUCGAUGAUCUCAGAGGUCUUUUCCAAUGUGAAUGCAUCUGUGAUUCUGUGAAAGAUGUAGGUAGGGAUUAAUAAAGGCCAUGGAAAGUAAAAGACUGGGAGAAAGCGAGUUUGAAACUGGAACAAGAGGGUGCUUUCUGAGCCAGGGUGUGGGGGGUAUGUGGGGCAUGGGCUUCCUAACACUCCCAGCACACUAUCUCCCAGCACCGAGCUCCUUCUACAAGCAGACUGUUUCCCCUCUUCAGAUUUUAACCCUCCCAUAAGGCAUAUGAUUCUCUGAAAGGACAUUUCUUUCACAGCAUCUGAAAUAGUCUAUGCUGGUUUUAUACUUGAAGUGUACUGGAAAACUAAGCUCUUUUGUUUGUUUUUUUUUUCUGCAUGGCUUUGGGAAAUGAAUGAUUUUAAAUAAAACUUGUGAGCAAGCAGUUUGUCAUCAA